Molecule: ribosomal RNA, 402 nt
Filed under: Bacteroidota bacterium
Lineage: Bacteria; Pseudomonadati; Bacteroidota
Description: Bacteroidetes bacterium partial 16S ribosomal RNA
Rfam family: Bacterial small subunit ribosomal RNA
Source: RNAcentral
UGGGGAAUUUUGCACAAUGGGGGAAACCCUGAUGCAGCGACGCCGCGUGAUUUAGAAGGCCUUCGGGUUGUAAAAAUCUUUUCUAUGGGAAGAAAAUGACAGUACCAUAGGAAUAAGGACCGGCUAAUUACGUGCCAGCAGCCGCGGUAAUACGUAAGGUCCGAGCGUUGUCCGGAAUCAUUGGGCGUAAAGGGUACGUAGGCGGGUAAGCAAGUUAGAAGUGAAAUCCUGUAGCUCAACUACAGUAAGCUUUUAAAACUGCUCAUCUUGAGAUAUGGAAGGGAAAGUGGAAUUCCUAGUGUAGCGGUGAAAUGCGCAGAUAUUAGGAGAAAUACCGGUGGCGAAGGCGACUUUCUGGCCAUAAUCUGACGCUGAGGUACGAAAGCGUGGGUAGCAAACAGG